UAAAAUUUUGUCGCCAAGGACUGCUUACUUUGGAACACGGCGCGGUCCCAGAACUGCCGUCGUUUUGGUGGUCUGAAGUGUGAAGAUAAACACGACGACCUUUUUCGUGAAUCCCCGAGGCACCAUAAAACGAAUCAGCUGAGGCGUUCUUGUUGUUCCCCUUUUCAGUAAGGAGCACGAGCUGGUGAGUGAAUUCUUUCAACUGAACGAAAUUCAAUUGCAUUAGUAUUAUCUGUAAGUUUUCGUUUUCGAAGAUGUAUGGAUUAUUCUAUAGAAAUAAUGGAAGGCUAUCACUAGCACAAGUGUUAUCAAAUAGUAAUGGGUCUAUUGCGCAAGAUUUAGCCACCUCUUAUUUGGAUUUGUUUUCUGGUUUGGGUUUGAAAGUUCAGAACGCAAGGUUGUUUAAUCCUUUUGGCGUUAAGUUAUUCUCAACUGAAGACGAACAAAUUAAAAGGAAAGUGCCAAAAGAAUGCUCAUUUACGGUGUCAUACCUCAUAAACUCAUGUGGGUUGUCCCCAAAAAUUGCAAAAUCUGUUGCUGAAAGAGUAAAGCUUCGAUCUUCG
Molecule: long non-coding RNA, 563 nt
Filed under: Citrus sinensis (sweet orange)
Lineage: Eukaryota; Viridiplantae; Streptophyta; Magnoliopsida; Sapindales; Rutaceae
Description: long non-coding RNA (CSIN_LNC002118)
Source: RNAcentral